RNAcentral lists this ribosomal RNA (280 nucleotides) under uncultured bacterium. RNAcentral's name for it is "partial 16S ribosomal RNA". It matches the Rfam family "Bacterial small subunit ribosomal RNA", at positions 65 to 339 of the family's 1533-position model. The record is from RNAcentral.
AACGAGAAAGCCCUUCGGGGUGAGUACAGUGGCGAACGGGUGAGUAACACGUGGGCAACCUGCCCCAGAGAGCGGGACAACCCGAGGAAACUCGGGCUAAUACCGCAUGAUGCGUCUCCACUUAAGUGGAGCCGCCAAAUGGUAGCUUCGGCCUCCGCUCUGGGAUGGGCCCGCGUCGGAUUAGCUUGUUGGUUGGGGUAACGGCCCACCAAGGCGACGAUCCGUAGCUGGUCUGAGAGGACGAUCAGCCACACUGGGACUGAGACACGGCCCAGACUCC